Molecule: unclassified non-coding RNA, 428 nt
Filed under: Bombus terrestris (buff-tailed bumblebee)
Lineage: Eukaryota; Metazoa; Arthropoda; Insecta; Hymenoptera; Apidae
Description: misc RNA ENSBTSG00005021623.1
Source: RNAcentral
GUACAGUACACAACAACAGUACAGUCUUUUUGAACCGUAUUUGGAUACGAGGAAUGCGACUCGUAAUAAAGGAACUGUUGUACAUUACGUUGAUUUACAGAACUAUUCCGAAGCUUUCACGGCGCGCGUACGCAAUACGUCUUCGAGUAACUUUAAUGAAACUUUCUCGGGAAUCGACGAGAAUUUCAUUCAGUAACGGCAACGCGUCGUAAAUAAAUAAAAUCGUUCUCCACAGCUAUCGGGGAAUGCGCAAACGUUCGCAAGAAUUCAAGAAGCGAUUGUGGUGCGUGAGUGCGUGCGUGCGUGCGUGCGUAACAUAGACGCGUGAGUUCGCAUAAUCAUGGUAGUUCAAUUAGAUUUGUUUCUGUUAUGAAAAAUUUAUAGAAACCGUUCAGACUGAUGAAAUAGCAGUUUUUAGAUAUACAUUU